GUCCAAGUGAUAGCUCAGUCGAUGGAACAUGAGACUCCUGAUCUCUGGGUUGUGGGUUCGAAUCCCAUGUUGGAUA
This is a non-coding RNA of Podarcis lilfordi (Lilford's wall lizard), 76 nucleotides long. The record is from the annotation of a GenBank genome assembly. NCBI's taxonomy places the organism in Eukaryota, Metazoa, Chordata, Lepidosauria, Squamata, Lacertidae.